GUUGCUAGAAGAUGACGAGUGGCGUUAGGGUGAGUAAUACUUAGGGAUCUGCCCUUGGGUGGGGGAUAACCAUUGGAAACGAUGGCUAAUACCGCAUAAUGUCUACGGACCAAAGGGGGCUUCGGCUCUCACCUGAGGAUGAACCUAAGCGAGAUUAGCUAGUUGGUGAGGUAAAGGCUCACCAAGGCGACGAUCUCUAGCUGUUCUGAGAGGAAGAUCAGCCACACUGGGACUGAGACACGGCCCAGACUCCUACGGGAGGCAGCAGUGGGGAAUAUUGCACAAUGGGGGGAACCCUGAUGCAGCCAUGCCGCGUGUGUGAAGAAGGCCUUAGGGUUGUAAAGCACUUUCAGAUGUGAGGAAAGGUUGUUGGUUAAUACCCAGCAGCUGUGACGUGAGCGUCAGAAGAAGCACCGGCUAACUCCGUGCCAGCAGCCGCGGUAAUACGGAGGGUGCGAGCGUUAAUCGGAAUUACUGGGCGUAAAGCGCACGCAGGCGGUUUGUUAAGCUAGAUGUGAAAGCCCCGGGCUCAACCUGGGACGGUCAUUUAGAACUGGCAAACUAGAGUCUUGGAGAGGGGAGUGGAAUUCCAGGUGUAGCGGUGAAAUGCGUAGAUAUCUGGAGGAACAUCAGUGGCGAAGGCGACUCUCUGGUCACAGACUGACGCUCAUGUGCGAAAG
RNAcentral lists this ribosomal RNA (680 nucleotides) under uncultured bacterium. Its description in RNAcentral is "bacterial SSU rRNA". It matches the Rfam family "Bacterial small subunit ribosomal RNA", at positions 76 to 759 of the family's 1533-position model. The record is from RNAcentral.